Molecule: ribosomal RNA, 253 nt
Filed under: uncultured bacterium
Lineage: Bacteria
Description: partial 16S ribosomal RNA
Rfam family: Bacterial small subunit ribosomal RNA
Source: RNAcentral
UACAGAGGUCCCAAGCGUUGUUCGGAAUUACUGGGCGUAAAGGGCUCGUAGGCGGCCAACUAAGUCAGACGUGAAAUCCCUCAGCUUAACUGGGGAACUGCGUCUGAUACUGGAUGGCUUGGAUUUGGGAGAGGGAUGCGGAAUUCCAGGUGUAGCGGUGAAAUGCGUAGAUAUCUGGAGGAACACCGGUGGCGAAGGCGGCAUCCUGGACCGGCAUUGACGCUGAGGAGCGAAAGCCAGGGGAGCAAACGGG